This is a small nuclear RNA of Artibeus jamaicensis (Jamaican fruit-eating bat), 104 nucleotides long. The record is from RefSeq and is a predicted model, not a curated record. Lineage: Eukaryota; Metazoa; Chordata; Mammalia; Chiroptera; Phyllostomidae.
GUGCUUGCUUUCGCAACACAUAUACUAAAAUUGGAAUGACACAGAGAAGAUUAGCAUGGCCCCUAUGCAAGGAUAUGUAAAUUCUUGAAGCAUUCCAUAUUUUU